This is a non-coding RNA of Malurus melanocephalus (red-backed fairy wren), 767 nucleotides long. The record is from the annotation of a RefSeq genome assembly. Lineage: Eukaryota; Metazoa; Chordata; Aves; Passeriformes; Maluridae.
GCCCCGCGGCCUCCGCUGUGCAGAGACCYGACCCACCCCCACCGCGAUCGCCUCCCCUCCGUUCCCUGCUGGGACUCGGCGAGAUCCUGAGCAUCGCGGGCGCAGGGCUCAGCCCCGGGGUGGAGCUGGCGGGGGCGGAGAGGAGAGCCCAUAGGAGUGGAGGAGUGGGAGAGGAGGCGGCACGGCCGGAGCAGAGAGCCGGGGCUGGCGGGGACAGCGAUGCUCGGGCGGCGGAGCGGCGGGAUGCGGCGGGGUCGGGGCGCGGGGCUGGCGGCGCUGGCCGCGGUGCUGCUCGUGGCUGUGGCCCGAGCCCAGAUAGAGCAACAGCCGCGGCUGGAGACCACCGAGGGCACCGGCAUCAACAUCAGCUGCUCACACCGAAAUAUCCAAACUAAUGACUACAUCCACUGGUACCGACUGCUCCCGGGCCAGGGCCACGAAUUCCUCAUGAGCGCUCACAAAGGACUCAGAGGGCUGCCGGACAGUGAGGGCCAUCUGUGGGUGUCGGAAGAUCGCAAAUCCAGCGCUCUGUACCUCGCUCGGCCCCGGCGCGGGGACGCGGCCGUGUAUUACUGCGCGCUGGGUGACACGGGCACAGGAGCCGCGGCUGCGGCCGAGCACGAACCGCCGUGGGCGGGGACAGCAGGAGACAACAGGGGACAACAGGGGACAACAGGGGACAACAGGGGACAACAGGGGACAACAGGGGGCGCUGCCGCUCCGCUCGCCAGCGGUCGGGGAAAAGCCCCGAGCAACAGCUUCCCAAG